Molecule: long non-coding RNA, 791 nt
Organism: Mastomys coucha (southern multimammate mouse)
Lineage: Eukaryota; Metazoa; Chordata; Mammalia; Rodentia; Muridae
Exons: 2
Source: RefSeq, a predicted model, not a curated record
CUCCUCUUCCCUGUCUGCAGGCUGAGCCGGAGACGGGCCACGGGGCGGCGGAUGCAAGCUUCGCGAAGCCCAGCCCACAAGCCGCAGAGCCCGAACCGCUCUGAAAGAGAAAAGCAGUAAGCGUCUCGCAGUCACGGCCGCUUCCCGCCCUCACCCACGGGCACCUCUCGGCCCUCACCCCGCAGCCCGUGAGCACAGGACACUGUUCAUAGUGACCUCGACCCGCACGCCGAGGCGCACCUUGCUGCGUCACUUCCGUCGCACAAAACCGGAAGCCAAACCUCACAUCAAAUUUCACGACUGCAAGACGUGAGUCCAGCCACGCAACGGAAAUGAUGCAUUUCCUCUCCGAGCUCUUCCGUCUCGGGCCCCGCCCUGAUGGCGGUCAGGGCGACCUAAGGGUUUCCGAAACGGUCAGCCCCUCCUUAGAGGCCUGAGCCGGCGCGGCGGAUUGAAGGUGAAGCAGACUCGGCUCUCGGAAGAGCUUGGACCGGGGCUGUUUGGUGUGAUGCCCACGACGCCCACAGACUUGAGAACUCGUGGUAUCUGCUGGCUUCUUUCCAGGAUCGUCGCCCCGGAGGGACUUGGUCCCUGUUCUCCAGGAGCGCGUCUUCCAUUCUUAGCGCUUCAUCCGGGCCCUCAGGCCCGGAGAAUCAGCCAGAGAACCUUGUAAUCCCAACACUGUGGAGCCGGAAACAAGAGGAUCACUGGUUCCAAGCCAGCUUGUACUACCCAGCUUGACAUCAACCCAAUUUAAAAUACAAAAUUAAAGAAACAAACAAAAAACCCAG